This 847-nucleotide ribosomal RNA is filed under the name uncultured bacterium. RNAcentral describes it as "bacterial SSU rRNA". It matches the Rfam family "Bacterial small subunit ribosomal RNA", at positions 26 to 868 of the family's 1533-position model. The record is from RNAcentral.
AGAACGAACGCUGGCGGCGCGCCUAAUACAUGCAAGUCGAGCGAGAAGACGUAGCAAUACGUUUGUAAAGCGGCGAACGGGUGAGGAAUACAUGGGUAACCUACCCUCGAGUGGGGAAUAACUAGCCGAAAGGUUAGCUAAUACCGCGUACGCUCCUUGGACUUCGGUUCAGGGAGGAAAGCGAUACCGUGGGUAUCGCGCUCUUGGAUGGGCCCAUGUCCUAUCAGCUUGUUGGUGAGGUAACGGCUCACCAAGGCUUCGACGGGUAGCUGGUCUGAGAGGACGAUCAGCCACACUGGCACUGCGACACGGGCCAGACUCCUACGGGAGGCAGCAGUAAGGAAUAUUGCGCAAUGGGCGAAAGCCUGACGCAGCGACGCCGCGUGGGGGAUGAAGGUCUUCGGAUUGUAAACCCCUUUCGGGAGGGAAGAUGGAAUGGGGUAACCCAUUCGGACGGUACCUCCAGAAGCAGCCACGGCUAACUUCGUGCCAGCAGCCGCGGUAAUACGAAGGUGGCAAGCGUUGUUCGGAUUUACUGGGCGUACAGGGAGCGUAGGCGGUUCGGUAAGCCCUCUGUGAAAUCUCCAGGCUUAACCUGGAACAGUCGGAGGGGACUGCUGGGCUAGAGGACGGGAGAGGAGCGCGGAAUUCCCGGUGUAGCGGUGAAAUGCGUAGAGAUCGGGAGGAAGGCCGGUGGCGAAGGCGGCGCUCUGGAACGUUUCUGACGCUGAGGCUCGAAAGCGUGGGGAGCAAACAGGAUUAGAUACCCUGGUAGUCCACGCCUUAAACUAUGAAUACUAAGUGUCGGCGGGUUACCGCCGGUGCCGCAGCUAACGCAUUAAGUAUC